RNAcentral lists this ribosomal RNA (301 nucleotides) under uncultured bacterium. RNAcentral's name for it is "partial 16S ribosomal RNA". It matches the Rfam family "Bacterial small subunit ribosomal RNA", at positions 509 to 807 of the family's 1533-position model. The record is from RNAcentral.
CAGUAGCCACGGUAAAACGAAGGGGGCUAGCGUUGCUCGGAAUUACUGGGCGUAAAGGGAGCGUAGGCGGAUCGUUAAGUUGGGGGUGAAAGCCCGGGGCUCAACCUCGGAACCGCCUUCAAUACUGGCGAUCUUGAGUAUGAGAGAGGUGAGUAGAACUCCGAGUGUAGAGGUGAAAUUCGUAGAUAUUCGGAAGAACACCAGUGGCGAAGGCGACUCACUGGCUCAUUACUGACGCUGAGGCUCGAAAGCGUGGGGAGCAAACAGGAUUAGAUACCCGUGUAGUCCCUGUCUCUUAUAC